Molecule: unclassified non-coding RNA, 347 nt
Filed under: Hevea brasiliensis (rubber tree)
Lineage: Eukaryota; Viridiplantae; Streptophyta; Magnoliopsida; Malpighiales; Euphorbiaceae
Source: RNAcentral
AAGGAAGGCGGACAAAGAAAUUGGUAUCGUAUCCCUCUUUCUCUCUCUCUCACUGUCUCUGUGUGUCCUUGUUCUUCUUCUUCUUUAAAUAUAUGAAUAUGCAUCAAAUUGAGGUUAAGGAUUGUGAUUUGACCUAAGAAAGCUUCUUCUUUUAUUUUUACAGAAAUAUAACUUUAUUUAUUCCUUUGGUUGAUUGAGUUAGGAAAAAAAUUUGUUGCAUAAAUGACAAAUAACAACCCCCUUUUCUUUUAAUUAAUUAAUUUUUUUAAUACUUAAGCAUAUAAUCAUGAAAUAUUUGUUACUAAUAUCAUGAAAGUAUAGCUUUUUUAAUCUUAUUUUCCUCCUUU